CGAGUCGGCAGUGGCAAGUCUGGAAUCGGACCAGAUGAGGAGCAGCAGUCGCCAUCUUCACAGCCGCGAGUAAAGGUGGCUGUCGCACCCUCAAAAUUCUUCGUUUCUAGGAGUAGAUCCUGCCGAAGGAGCGGAAAGCGUUCGCCGCCCGGUUUGCAAAGCGCGAGUUUCUCCCGUGCUGUCCCGUUCGUCCCGGUGACUGUGAUAGAGGCGAGAGGGAAGCCGGUCUGGCCGGAGGAGCAUCUCCGCCCUCCUCAUCUUCUCUGACACUUCGUACACGUUCCCCGGUUUAACUUCCCGACCGCGAGCGAUGAGUGUGAAAAUGGCCGGGCAGACUAUGACGGAUAGGCUGCUCGCGGCGCGGCACAGCAUCGCAGGCCAAGGGCUCGCCAAGUCCGUCUGCAAGGCGACCACCGAAGAGCUCAUCGGGCCCAAGAAGAAACAUUUGGACUAUCUAAUCCACUGCACAAAUGAGCCAAACGUAUCAAUACCUCAGCUGGCGAAUCUUCUCAUUGAAAGGACACAGAAUACAAACUGGGUCGUAGUCUUUAAAGCGCUCAUUACUGUACAUCAUCUCAUGUGUUACGGAAAUGAGAGGUUCACGCAGUACCUCGCAUCCAGCAACAGCACGUUUCAGCUGAGCAACUUCCUCGACAAAAGUGGAGUACAAGCCACAGGUGCUAGAGUCGGCUACGAUAUGUCCCCGUUUAUCAGACGAUAUGCCAAGUACCUCAACGAGAAAGCGAUGUCAUACAGGACUGUGGCUUUCGACUUCUGCAAAGUAAAGAGGGGAAAGGAGGACGGAGUUCUGCGAACGAUGAACUCUGAGAAAUUACUUAAAACUCUGCCAGUGCUUCAAGGCCAAUUGGAUGAACUUCUCGAGUUCGACUGCACUGCUGCCGAUCUUAGCAAUGGUGUGAUUAACAUGGCUUUCAUGUUACUCUUUAGGGACCUUAUCCGCUUAUUUGCUGGCUAUAAUGAUAGUAUUAUUAACCUAUUAGAAAAGUAUUUUGAAAUGAAUAAAAAACAAUGUAGGCAAGCCUUAGACUUAUACAAAAAAUUCCUGAUAAGAAUGGAUAGGGUUGGAGAAUUUUUAAAAGUCGCAGAAAAUGUAGGUAUAGAUAAAGGAGAAAUCCCGGAUUUAACAAAGGCUCCAAGCAGCCUCCUUGAUGCUCUUGAACAACAUCUUGCUGCACUCGAAGGCAAAAAAGGCUCAGCAGCAAAUACUCCCACACAGUCUGCCAGCAUUAGGCCGAGAUCAAGCUAUUCCUACCUUCCCUGUCCUCAAGCUCCUUACCAUUACUCCGACAACUAUUGGAUCCGCCAACGAUCCGAUGUGAAGAGCGGGGUUUCAGCCCUCAGUAACACAAGCAGCGCUUUCGGCACAGCAGCAGCGCACAAUGUCGACGCCAGUGAAGAAGCUCUGAGACAACAGGCUCUUGCUGAGGAAGAAGCAGCAAUAAAUCAUUAUAAGUCAAAAGUGCAAUCACCCACCAAUUCUGGUGCAACAGCUACAAACCCAUUCCUUGUCGGUUCACCGACACAGCCGAUAGUUGAUUUAUUCGCUGCUCCGAUUCCAACUAAUGAAGUACACGUGCAACAAUCGACCAAAGCUUCAGAUGACUUGCUGCAGCUUGGGAACCCAUUUGCAGAUAUGUUCAGUACCCCUGCGCCCACUGCCGGCGUGCCAGCAGCACCGCUUGCAGCUGUCCAGCCACAAGCGCCUGUCAAUAAUGUUUGGAUGUCAAAUGGUUUCAAUGCUGCUCCUGCACCAGCUCCCGCUAAUGCAUUCGUCAGCGACAACACCUUUAACUCAGUCUUCGGAGGAGCAACUGAUAACGGCACUGCAGCUCCACAAGCUGGCGUAGUGGAUCCCACGGUGAAUCCUUUUAUGACAGACUUCCCCGCGGGUGAAGAGCCGGGGAAGACUGCGACUCCUCCUCCUCCCAGACCUCCUCCUCCUCGUCCUUCCUCACCGCCCAAGACGGCCCUGGACGACCUGAACGACUCGAUAAGGAUGGCGAUGGGCGGGACGCCCUCACCGUCGAGGCCUCCGCUUCCUUCUGCUCCCACUCCCAUUCCCCAACAACAGCCGUACCAAAUCCCGCCCCAGAACCCGCAGAUGCACUACAGUUCUCCGGCCAAGGUACCCUUGGUAGCGAUGCAAGGAGGAGCGGAAUCUCAGACAGGCAAAGUCCUCACUGGCGAUCUGGACACCAGUUUAGCAAUGCUCGCCGAGAAUCUCACGAUGAACAAGGGCAACCAGCAGACACAGAAGGGCAUGCAAUGGAACUCACCGAAGAACACAGCAAAAGGCGCGGGUGGCACGGGGUGGAGCCCUCAACCUAUGGCUGCUACGACAGGCGCCAACUACAGACCCAUGGGCCAGGGCAUGAUGAGCACGCCGCAAUUCAACAAUUUCCACCAUAUGGGUAUGAUGCCAGGUGGUAUGGGCUCUCCAAGGCAAGUCCCUCCAAGUGCCCAGCCCCCUUCGCAGGCACAGGAGUUAGACCCUUUCGGUGCUCUUUGAACAGAAAGGUGUAAAAUGAAAAUGAAAGUCCAUUGUGCAAAGCAAGCUGCAUAAAUCAGCAUGUUGAGGAUGUGCUUGUAUUCGAUUUUUUCUUCUUUUUUUAAAGCCAGCAUUUUACAGAGAUCAAGUAACCUGUUUGCAAUUUUUUUUGGCAUGUCGUACAUGUCGCUAGGUAUUAUGCACCUCCGAAUUUCCAUUAUCGCCUUGGCGUUUCCACGAUUGAAUUUCGGUUCUCUUCCUGUGUCUUCCGAUUUGUAUUAGCUGCGGUCGAGGACAAUGGGCCCUUUGGGUGGGUGGGAGACGGAGAAAGGAGAAAGCAGUUGGGACGUGUCAUAGUUCAUCUGGGGAGGUCGAUGUCGCACGAUAUGACUGCGAUCCCGUUGCGCAACCAGCCGCCAUCUUAUCUCAGACCUUUCUUUAUUUGGGAUGUAAUCGCUGAAACGAAACUACGUACUCAUCGGAAAGGGCGAAAAAAAGUGGAAUAAAUUUGGUACAAACCAGUAGGCAAGAAGUUAACACUGUCUUUGACUUUUUAGAUAAUUAUGACAAAAUAACAGUUUAAAGUAGUUUAAUUUGGGGAGGGGGGUUAUGGUUGUUUUACCAGCUAUUUUGUAUGUGCUGGUUAGUUGUUCCGAUCAUCCAAACUUACUAUCCUUGCUGCUUUGGUCUUGUCAUAUGCGAUUCGGCAUUUCGCAUGUCCAGUGCUUGCUCAUCAGUGGGCGUUAGAAAUAAAUUAAACUGUAAGGACGGUAAAUAAUCUAUCCACUGCACCGUAAUCAAUCAUCAUUAAUCAUCCUUGUUAUGCCCACUCUCGCUGGAUUUAUUGCAGAAACGCGUCUGACAGACCAAACCGGUGUGUAAAGGCAGACCAAACCAUCGGAAGCUAUCAACCUAGAGAAUUUGAAGUUGCAUUGUUCGACCUUUUUCUUUCUAAGCCUGUUUCUUCGACAAGGGGUUGAAAAUGUCAAAAAGAAGAAUAGGCAGGCGAGGUGUUAGACUCAUCAAACGAAGUCCUUGUAACACGGCCAACGAGAUACCAAGGAACUAUUACGCUAAGGACUUUAUGGCAUCCGGGACGAGUCUAACGAUCGAGGUCUUCAAAAGGUCUUAAGUAAAAUUACCCAAUGGGUCAAACAUUAAAACUGUUGUGAGAAAA
RNA transcript from Cimex lectularius (bed bug), 3686 nucleotides. It is a transcript of the gene named phosphatidylinositol-binding clathrin assembly protein LAP, with no coding region annotated. The transcript is spliced from 22 exons. NCBI's taxonomy places the organism in Eukaryota, Metazoa, Arthropoda, Insecta, Hemiptera, Cimicidae. The record is from RefSeq and is a predicted model, not a curated record.